RNAcentral lists this ribosomal RNA (439 nucleotides) under uncultured eukaryote. RNAcentral describes it as "partial 18S ribosomal RNA". It matches the Rfam family "Eukaryotic small subunit ribosomal RNA", at positions 21 to 375 of the family's 1831-position model. The record is from RNAcentral.
UGUAGUCAUAUGCUUGUCUCAAAGAUUAAGCCAUGCAUGUCUAAGUACGCACGGCCGGUACAGAGAAACUGCGAAUGGCUCAUUAAAUCAGUUAUGGUUCCUUUGGUCGCUCGCUCCUCUCCUACUUGGAUAACUGUGGUAAUUCUAGAGCUAAUACAUGCCGACGGGCGCUGACCCCCUUCGCGGGGGGGAUGCGUGCAUUUAUCAGAUCAAAACCAACCCGGUCAGCCUCCUCCCGGCCCCGGCCGGGGGGCGGGCGCCGGCGGCUUUGGUGACUCUAGAUAACCUCGGGCCGAUCGCACGCCCCCCGCGGCGGCGACGACCCAUUCGAACGUCUGCCCUAUCAACUUUCGAUGGUAGUCGCUGUGCCUACCAUGGUGACAACGGGUAACGGGGAAUGGGGCGGGGGCGGCGGGCCGGGCGCGGGGCGCGGCGGGCG